This 471-nucleotide ribosomal RNA is filed under the name uncultured microorganism. RNAcentral describes it as "bacterial SSU rRNA". It matches the Rfam family "Bacterial small subunit ribosomal RNA", at positions 9 to 526 of the family's 1533-position model. The record is from RNAcentral.
GAGUUUGAUCAUGGCUCAGAACGAACGCUGGCGGCAUGCCUAACACAUGCAAGUCGAACGAACUCUUCGGAGUUAGUGGCGCACGGGUGCGUAACGCGUGGGAAUCUGCCCUUGGGUACGGAAUAACUCAGAGAAAUUUGUGCUAAUACCGUAUAAUGACUUCGGUCCAAAGAUUUAUCGCCCAAGGAUGAGCCCGCGUAAGAUUAGCUAGUUGGUGGGUAAAGGCCUACCAAGGCUACGAUCUUUAGCUGGUCUGAGAGGAUGAUCAGCCACACUGGGACUGAGACACGGCCCAGACUCCUACGGGAGGCAGCAGUGGGGAAUAUUGGACAAUGGGCGAAAGCCUGAUCCAGCAAUGCCGCGUGAGUGAUGAAGGCCUUAGGGUUGUAAAGCUCUUUUACCCGGGAUGAUAAUGACAGUACCGGGAGAAUAAGCUCCGGCUAACUCCGUGCCAGCAGCCGCCGCAGUAAC